This 410-nucleotide ribosomal RNA is filed under the name uncultured bacterium. Its description in RNAcentral is "bacterial SSU rRNA". It matches the Rfam family "Archaeal small subunit ribosomal RNA", at positions 335 to 747 of the family's 1478-position model. The record is from RNAcentral.
GCAGUCGAGAAAACUCCACAAUGCGCGAAAGCGUGAUGGGGGGAAUCUGAGUGGUUCACUUCGGUGAACCUUUUGCCAAGUUUAGCUAGCUUGGCGAAUAAGUGCUGGGCAAGACCGGUGGCAGCCGCCACGGUAAUACCGGCAGCACAAGUGGUGUCCACGAUUAUUGGGCUUAAAGCGCUCGUAGCUGGCCCAUGCCGUCUCGUGUGAAAUAUUGGCGCUCAACGUCAAUGCGGGCAUGAGAUACCCAUGGGCUAGGGAGCGGGUGAGGUAAGGAGUACUUAUUGGGGAGGGGUAAAAUCCUGUAAUCCUUUAAGGACUAACGGUGGCGAAGGCGCCUUACCAGAACGCAUCCGACAGUGAGGAGCGAAGGCUAGGAGAACGAAUCGGAUUAGAUACCCCCGUAGUCC